Molecule: unclassified non-coding RNA, 421 nt
Filed under: uncultured fungus
Lineage: Eukaryota; Fungi
Description: partial contains small subunit ribosomal RNA, internal transcribed spacer 1, and 5.8S ribosomal RNA
Rfam family: Eukaryotic small subunit ribosomal RNA (bases 1-73)
Source: RNAcentral
GCAAACUUGGUCAUUUAGAGGAAGUAAAAGUCGUAACAAGGUUUCCGUAGGUGAACCUGCGGAAGGAUCAUUAUUGAAACAAAAUUAUAAGCGAACUGCUGCUGGUUCCUUUGGAGCAUGUGCACGUCCGUUUUAUUUUGAACAUUUCUCCUGUGCACUAUUGGUAGAGGCUGUCCUAAGACAAUUGAAUUUUCGAUUUCAUGGUCAAUAGUCAUGGUUCGGUUUGGAGAAUUUAGCAGCAAUUUUGAGUUGCUUUUCUUCUUUCAAAUUGCUUUUAGGAUGACUUUACCGUCUGUUUAUUUACGCACGUAUGAAUGGAUUAGAAUGUGUUGACAACAAACUUUGACCUUCGUGUCUUGUUAAAACUUGUAUAACUUUCAACAACGGAUCUCUUGGCUCUCGCAUCGAUGAAGAACGCAGC